CGACGGAUCGGAGCAUCCGGUUAGUGGCGAACGGGUGAGUAACGCGUUGGUGACCUGCCCCGAAGCGGGGGAUAACAGACCGAAAGGUUUGCUAAAACCGCAUAAUUUAACCAUUGGUGAAGCAUGGAUAAGAAAGCCGAAAGGUGCUUUGGGAGGGGCCUGCGUCCCAUCAGCUAGUUGGUAAGGUAACGGCCUACCAAGGCGAUGACGGGUAGGGGACCUGAGAGGGUGGCCCCCCACAAUGGAACUGAAACACGGUCCAUACACCUACGGGUGGCAGCAGUAGGGAAUAUUGCUUAAUGGGCGAAAGCCUGAAGCAGCAACGCCGCGUGUGCGAUGAAGGCCUUCGGGUUGUAAAGCACUUUUGGCUGGGAAGAGGAAGGACGGUACCAGCCGAAUCAGCCUCGGCUAACUACGUGCCAGCAGCCGCGGUAAAACGUAGGAGGCGAGCGUUAUCCGGAUUUACUGGGUGUAAAGCGCGUGCAGGCGGUUUGCUAAGUUGGGUGUGAAAGCUCCCGGCUCAACUGGGAGAGGUCGCUCAAGACUGGCAGACUGGAGAGUGGUAGGGGAAGGUGGAAUUCCGGGUGUAGUGGUGAAAUGCGUAGAUAUCCGGAGGAACACCAGUGGCGAAAGCGGCUUUCUGGACUGUAACUGACGCUCAGACGCGAAAGCUAGGGUAGCAAACGGGAUUAGAGACCCCGGUAGUCCUAGCCGUAAACGAUGUAGACUUGGCGU
This 735-nucleotide ribosomal RNA is filed under the name uncultured Chloroflexota bacterium. RNAcentral describes it as "bacterial SSU rRNA". It matches the Rfam family "Bacterial small subunit ribosomal RNA", at positions 64 to 823 of the family's 1533-position model. Lineage: Bacteria; Bacillati; Chloroflexota. The record is from RNAcentral.